GGGACGCUGGGCCCCGCCGCCAAUCCGCGCCCGCUGCCCGCGCCUCCACCCCGGGGCGCACCCCCCAGAGCCCGCACCGCCCUGCGCGGGGAGGCGGGGCGCAGGGUGCGAGCGGGGAGGCGGGGCGCGGGGUGCGAGCCGGGCGGCGGGAGGGGCGCCUGGGGAGCGCGGGGGGGCCUGCAGGGGAGCGCGGGGGAGGCUGCAGGGGAGCGCGGGGGGGCUGCAGGGGAGCGCGGGGUCCUGCAGGGGAGCGCGGGAGGGGCUGCAGGGGAGCGCGUGGGGUCUGCAAGGGAGCGCGUGGGGGCUGCAGGGGAGCGCGGGAGGGGCUGCAGGGGAGCGCCGGGGGCCUGCAGGGGAGCGCGGGAGGGGCUGCAGGAGAGCGCGGGGGGCUGCAGGGGAGCGCGGGGGGGGGGCUGCAGGGGAGCGCGGGGGGCCUGCAGGGGAGCGCGGGGGGCCUGCAGGGGAGCGCGGGAGGGGCUGCAGGGGAGCGCGUGGGGGCUGCCCCGCGGCUCACUCGAAGGCCUGCCCAACCGCGGCUUUGAGCUCCGCGGGGAGGGCGUCGGAUCCGUGCGGUUCACGCGCGCGCUGCGUCCGGGCCGAGGGCUGAGAGCGCGCGGCGCCCCUUCGGCGGGCCCCUGUGCGGACGCGCCCCAGACCUCGGCCUCCGCAGCAGGUGCCCGGGCUGCCCGCGGCCCCGCCCCCCCAAGACGCCCGACGCUGCGAGGAAAGCCCCUUCGACUCGGCCAGACACCCGGGGCGCGGACACCCCCACUCCCACCCCCUCCACCCCCCAGCUGCCUCCCGCCGCGCUGCCCCCGCCAGCUUCGCGCGGGACUCGGCGGCUGCAGGUGCCCCGGGCUGCUCGCGGGCACAGACGCGUGGGGAGGACGGACGCCGCGGAGGGGGAGGGAGGCAGACGGCCAAUGGGGUGUAGAGGACGGCCGGCCGCGGGGGGACAGCGCCGAGCACAGCCCGCGUUCCCGCCCUGGCCCGGGCUCCGGGUGCCCCGCCGCCGCCCGCCCGCGCGACCCUCCGGCACCCCCUGGUGGCCGCCUGGUGCUACGGCGACUCGCCGCCCGCGAGGCCGGGCCCGCUGCGGUCGCUCCGCCUCCCGGCUCGGGCUUCGCCGUCGGAAGCACCUGCGGACUCGCAGAGCCGGGCGAACCCAACACACCGGAGCGUUCACCCUGA
Molecule: long non-coding RNA, 1191 nt
Filed under: Canis lupus familiaris (dog)
Lineage: Eukaryota; Metazoa; Chordata; Mammalia; Carnivora; Canidae
Description: lncRNA (ENSCAFG00040009476.1)
Source: RNAcentral